ACGGAAGGCAGCAGUGAGGAAUAUUGGUCAAUGGGUGCAAGCCUGAACCAGCCAAGUAGCGUGAAGGAUGACUGCCCUAUGGGUUGUAAACUUCUUUUAUAUGGGAAUAAAGUGAGCCACGUGUGGUUUUUUGUAUGUACCAUAUGAAUAAGCAUCGGCUAAUUCCGUGCCAGCAGCCGCGGUAAUACGGAAGAUGCGAGCGUUAUCCGGAUUUAUUGGGUUUAAAGGGAGCGUAGGCGGGUCCUUAAGUCAGUGGUCAAAGCGUGUGGCUCAACCAUACCACGCCGUUGAUACUGGGGACCUUGAGUGCACAUAAGGAUGGUGGAAUUCGUCGUGUAGCGGUGAAAUGCUUAGAUAUGACGAAGAACUCCGAUUGCGAAGGCAGCUGUCCGGGGUGUAACUGACGCUAAUGCUCGAAAGUGCGGGUAUCAAACAGGAUUAGAUACCCUGGUA
RNAcentral lists this ribosomal RNA (453 nucleotides) under uncultured Bacteroides sp. RNAcentral's name for it is "partial 16S ribosomal RNA". It matches the Rfam family "Bacterial small subunit ribosomal RNA", at positions 341 to 792 of the family's 1533-position model. Lineage: Bacteria; Pseudomonadati; Bacteroidota; Bacteroidia; Bacteroidales; Bacteroidaceae. The record is from RNAcentral.